This 508-nucleotide ribosomal RNA is filed under the name Bacillus licheniformis. RNAcentral's name for it is "bacterial SSU rRNA". It matches the Rfam family "Bacterial small subunit ribosomal RNA", at positions 27 to 516 of the family's 1533-position model. Lineage: Bacteria; Bacillati; Bacillota; Bacilli; Caryophanales; Bacillaceae. The record is from RNAcentral.
GGACGAACGCUGGCGGCGUGCCUAAUACAUGCAAGUCGAGCGGACCGACGGGAGCUUGCUCCCUUAGGUCAGCGGCGGACGGGUGAGUAACACGUGGGUAACCUGCCUGUAAGACUGGGAUAACUCCGGGAAACCGGGGCUAAUACCGGAUGCUUGAUUGAACCGCAUGGUUCAAUCAUAAAAGGUGGCUUUUAGCUACCACUUACAGAUGGACCCGCGGCGCAUUAGCUAGUUGGUGAGGUAACGGCUCACCAAGGCGACGAUGCGUAGCCGACCUGAGAGGGUGAUCGGCCACACUGGGACUGAGACACGGCCCAGACUCCUACGGGAGGCAGCAGUAGGGAAUCUUCCGCAAUGGACGAAAGUCUGACGGAGCAACGCCGCGUGAGUGAUGAAGGUUUUCGGAUCGUAAAACUCUGUUGUUAGGGAAGAACAAGUACCGUUCGAAUAGGGCGGCACCUUGACGGUACCUAACCAGAAAGCCACGGCUAACUACGUGCCAGCAGCC